Molecule: transfer RNA, 72 nt
Filed under: Bos taurus (domestic cattle)
Lineage: Eukaryota; Metazoa; Chordata; Mammalia; Artiodactyla; Bovidae
Also listed under: 5 other names
Rfam family: tRNA
About the family: Transfer RNA (tRNA) molecules are approximately 80 nucleotides in length.
Source: Rfam by way of RNAcentral
UCUCUGAUGGUUCAGUGGUUAGGACUCUGUGCUUUCACUGCCAGGGCCCAGGAUUGAUCCCUGGUCAGGGAA